CCUACGGGAGGCAGCAGUGAGGAAUAUUGGACAAUGGGCGCAAGCCUGAUCCAGCCAUGCCGCGUGCAGGAUGACGGUCCUAUGGAUUGUAAACUGCUUUUAUACGAGAAGAAACACUACUUCGUGAAGUAGCUUGACGGUAUCGUAAGAAUAAGGAUCGGCUAACUCCGUGCCAGCAGCCGCGGUAAUACGGAGGAUCCAAGCGUUAUCCGGAAUCAUUGGGUUUAAAGGGUCCGUAGGCGGUUUAAUAAGUCAGUGGUGAAAGCCCAUCGCUCAACGGUGGAACGGCCAUUGAUACUGUUAGACUUGAAUUAUUAGGAAGUAACUAGAAUAUGUAGUGUAGCGGUGAAAUGCUUAGAGAUUACAUGGAAUACCAAUUGCGAAGGCAGGUUACUACUAAUAUAUUGACGCUGAUGGACGAAAGCGUGGGUAGCGAACAGGAUUAGAUACCCUGGUAGUCCACGCCGUAAACGAUGGAUACUAGCUGUUGGAAGCAAUUUCAGUGGCUAAGCGAAAGUGAUAAGUAUCCCACCUGGGGAGUAACGUUCGCAAGAAUGAAACUUCAAAGGAAUUGACGG
RNAcentral lists this ribosomal RNA (578 nucleotides) under uncultured bacterium. Its description in RNAcentral is "bacterial SSU rRNA". It matches the Rfam family "Bacterial small subunit ribosomal RNA", at positions 338 to 916 of the family's 1533-position model. The record is from RNAcentral.